This 348-nucleotide ribosomal RNA is filed under the name uncultured bacterium. Its description in RNAcentral is "bacterial SSU rRNA". It matches the Rfam family "Bacterial small subunit ribosomal RNA", at positions 72 to 422 of the family's 1533-position model. The record is from RNAcentral.
GCGGGUAGCAAUACCUGGCGGCGAGUGGCGGACGGGUGAGGAAUACAUCGGAAUCUACCCUGUCGUGGGGGAUAACCAACCGAAAGGUUGGCUAAUACCGCAUACGACCGAGAGGUGAAAGCGGAGGACCGCAAGGCUUCGCGCGAUUGGAUGAGCCGAUGUCGGAUCAGCUAGUUGGCGGGGUAAGAGCCCACCAAGGCGACGAUCCGUAGCUGGUCUGAGAGGAUGAUCAGCCACACUGGGACUGAGACACGGCCCAGACUCCUACGGGAGGCAGCAGUGGGGAAUAUUGGACAAUGGGCGCAAGCCUGAUCCAGCAAUGCCGCGUGUGUGAAGAAGGCCUUCGGG